Lutra lutra (Eurasian river otter) is the source of this 185-nucleotide small nuclear RNA. RefSeq annotates it as U2 spliceosomal RNA. The transcript has a single exon. Lineage: Eukaryota; Metazoa; Chordata; Mammalia; Carnivora; Mustelidae. The record is from RefSeq and is a predicted model, not a curated record.
AUCGCUUCUCGGCCUUUUGGCUAAGAUCAAGUGUAAAAAUUUAUUGUUCAUUUAUUUUGUGCCAGUGUAUUUUUUUUUUUUUUUUAAGAUUUAAUUUAUUUAUUUGACAGAGAUUACAAGUAGGCAGAGAGGCAGGCAGAGAGAGAGGGAGGGGUUCAGGCUCCCUUCCGAGCAGAGAACACAAU